UGAAGGUGUCGGGCGACAGCGGUUGAAACUUUUCGGCUGAGGAAAGUCCGGACAUGGUAGAGCAAAGUUGUGGGGAAGCCCACCUGGAGUGAUCCAAGGACAAGUGCAACAGAAAACAAACCGCCUUUUUCAUAAGGUAAGGCUGAAACGGUGGUGUAAGAGACCACCAGCAAUUCGGGCGACCGAGUUGGCUAGGUAAACUCAACUUCAUGCAAGGUCAAGUAUAGGGACGUUGAAGCUGCUCGUUGAGUCCCAGGGUAGACUGCAUAGAGAAAUUGUCGUCGAUUACAGAAUCCGGCUUAUAGACACCUUCACCAU
RNAcentral lists this RNase P RNA (318 nucleotides) under Candidatus Servula neotermitis. RNAcentral's name for it is "RNase P RNA component class A". It matches the Rfam family "Bacterial RNase P class A". Rfam says of the family: Ribonuclease P (RNase P) is a ubiquitous endoribonuclease, found in archaea, bacteria and eukarya as well as chloroplasts and mitochondria. The record is from RNAcentral. Lineage: Bacteria; Bacillati; Actinomycetota; Actinomycetes; Bifidobacteriales; Bifidobacteriaceae.